RNAcentral lists this long non-coding RNA (439 nucleotides) under Citrus maxima (pomelo). RNAcentral describes it as "long non-coding RNA (CMAX_LNC004274)". The record is from RNAcentral. Lineage: Eukaryota; Viridiplantae; Streptophyta; Magnoliopsida; Sapindales; Rutaceae.
GGCAAUAGAAUGAAUAUUCAUCCAUUUUCGUCUUGGCUUGGGUUCUGUCUCUCAACAAGGAAGGAAGGCAUCCAGCUGAAUCUGUAGGAAAGUCUGAAACAAAAGGAUGCAGCUUCCGAUCCACAAUCUCGAACUGGGGCGAAUGAAGAAAGCUGCCUUCAUAAAGAAAGACAGCUGGAUUGAGUUCCACAGCAACACUCGAUUCGGCACAGUCGAUUUGUCCAACUGCCGAAAUCAAGUGCUCAAAUCUAGGGCUCUCUCUCUCUUUGUUCUUUUCUUGUAUAGUGCCCCCGAGAGGAAGGCGUAGUUGCGCUUUACCGGAAGUGAACUUGUCAAAAAUGUUAAACAUGGGAAUACUUCAAAAUGAAGAUUUUCAUGAUCUGGUCUGGUCGACCCAAUCAUGAUAUUGAAGGAUAGGACCUUUUCUCGAAAAACUCCC